UAGGGAAUCUUCCACAAUGGGCGAAAGCCUGAUGGAGCAACGCCGCGUGUGUGAUGAAGGGUUUCGGCUCGUAAAACACUGUUGUAAGAGAAGAAUGACAUUGAGAGUAACUGUUCAAUGUGUGACGGUAUCUUACCAGAAAGAAGCCCCGGCUAACUCCGUGCCAG
RNAcentral lists this ribosomal RNA (167 nucleotides) under uncultured bacterium. Its description in RNAcentral is "partial 16S rRNA". It matches the Rfam family "Bacterial small subunit ribosomal RNA", at positions 355 to 511 of the family's 1533-position model. The record is from RNAcentral.